CCGGCCCCGCGCGGACGCGGCCUCGAUCCCGGCCCCGACACCCCCGACCCCGGCCCUGCCCGGACGUGACCCCGACCCCAGCUCCGGCCCCGGUCCGCGCCGACCCCGACCCCAGCCCUGCCCGGACGCGACACCAGCCCCGACCCCGGCCCCGCGCGGACGCGGGCCCGACCCCGACGGCCGCCUUAGCAGCAAGACCUAGAAGCUUGGGGAUCUCGUGAGACACUGACCUGUGGCGUCAGUCUGGGCCUUAGUGUAACCCUGUCACAUGAGUGGCCUCAUGAAGGAGACUAGACUAUUCACGGGCUUGGGAGGCUCGUUGACUUACCAGGAAUCCAGUGGGUCCAGGAUGAUCCAGGAGGGGAGGCUUCCUUGAGGUGUUUCAGCUCCGGACAUCAGCCCUUUUGUGCCCUCGAGGGUCAGGACAGCACGCGUGUUAUCCCGGGAUCGGUUCCUGCAUCCACUGUCUUUCUGGCUCCAAACAGCCGGGCGCCUGACCUGCCGGCCAUCGCCCUCUCCCUGCUCGGGGCAGCUCCGUCCUUACCUCCCGGAACAGUCAGAGCACCUCCCUUUGCCCUUUCCCCUUCCCGCGGCUGCUGACCACAUUCCAGGUCUGUAGCAGCCACCAUGUCAGCCCGAGGACGGGGGCCACACGCCAAGGACCACGGCAGAAGGCUGACCCUGGAUGACCUCACGGACCUGCCAACACAGCCCGCGACUAUGAACUUCUGGUCUCCAGGAAGUGAAGGUCAAGCUCGUGUGUCCGUGUUACCCGAAGCCAGACUUACAGAUGGGGGCCCUCAGUGGCACCCACCCGUUUUCCUGUUCUCACCCAGACCACAGCACGGGGCCACUGCUCUCAUAAAAAACAGAAAUCACACAACUCGGAUCUCUGGUAGGACUCUGUGCGCACAGCAAAAUGGAUCUGUUGGUGCCGUCGUUCUUGGAAUUACUGAAUUUUGAGUGUUGUUGCCGAGGAGGUGGGGUGGGUGGGGUGGAGCUGGGCUUCCAUAAAUGCACAGAAGGAUCUUUGUUUAAAUGUUCAAUUUAUUU
Long non-coding RNA from Herpailurus yagouaroundi (jaguarundi), 1053 nucleotides. RefSeq lists it as uncharacterized. The record is from RefSeq and is a predicted model, not a curated record. The transcript is spliced from 3 exons. Lineage: Eukaryota; Metazoa; Chordata; Mammalia; Carnivora; Felidae.